GACGAACCGUGCGAACGUUGUUCGGAAUUACUGGGCGUAAAGGGCGCGUAGGCGGCCUCGCAAGUCCCGUGUGAAAUCCCUCGGCUCAACUGAGGAAUGGCACGGGAAACUGCGGGGCUUGAGUUCGGGAGAGGGAAGCGGAAUUCCGGGUGUAGCGGUGAAAUGCGUAGAUAUCCGGAGGAACACCGGUGGCGAAGGCGGCUUCCUGGACCGAUACUGACGCUGAGGCGCGAAAGCUAGGGGAGCAAACGGG
RNAcentral lists this ribosomal RNA (253 nucleotides) under uncultured bacterium. RNAcentral's name for it is "partial 16S ribosomal RNA". It matches the Rfam family "Bacterial small subunit ribosomal RNA", at positions 524 to 776 of the family's 1533-position model. The record is from RNAcentral.